AGAGUUUGAUCCUGGCUCAGAUUGAACGCUGGCGGCAUGCCUUACACAUGCAAGUCGAACGGUAACGCGGGGCAACCUGGCGACGAGUGGCGAACGGGUGAGUAACACAUCGGAACGUGCCCAGUAGUGGGGGAUAGCCCGGCGAAAGCCGGAUUAAUACCGCAUACGACCUACGGGUGAAAGCAGGGGAUCGCAAGACCUUGCGCUAUUGGAGCGGCCGAUGGCAGAUUAGGUAGUUGGUGGGGUAAAAGCCUACCAAGCCGACGAUCUGUAGCUGGUCUGAGAGGACGACCAGCCACACUGGGACUGAGACACGGCCCAGACUCCUACGGGAGGCAGCAGUGGGGAAUUUUGGACAAUGGGCGCAAGCCUGAUCCAGCCAUGCCGCGUGCGGGAAGAAGGCCUUCGGGUUGUAAACCGCUUUUGUCAGGGAAGAAACGGUCUGGGUUAAUACCCUGGGCUAAUGACGGUACCUGAAGAAUAAGCACCGGCUAACUACGUGCCAGCAGCCGCGGUAAUACGUAGGGUGCGAGCGUUAAUCGGAAUUACUGGGCGUAAAGCGUGCGCAGGCGGUUAUGCAAGACAGAUGUGAAAUCCCCGGGCUCAGCCUGGGAACUGCAUUUGUGACUGCAUAGCUAGAGUACGGUAGAGGGGGAUGGAAUUCCGCGUGUAGCAGUGAAAUGCGUAGAUAUGCGGAGGAACACCGAUGUCAAAGGCAAUCCCCUGGACCUGUACUGACGCUCAUGCACGAAAGCGUGGGGAGCAAACAGGAUUAGAUACCCUGGUAGUCCACGCCCUAAACGAUGUCAACUGGUUGUUGGGAGGGUUUCUUCUCAGUAACGAAGCUAACGCGUGAAGUUGACCGCCUGGGGAGUACGGCCGCAAGGUUAAAACUCAAAGGAAUUGACGGGGACCCGCACAAGCGGUGGAUGAUGUGGUUUAAUUCGACGCAACGCGAAAAACCUUACCUACCCUUGACAUGUCUGGAAUCCUGAAGAGAUUUAGGAGUGCUCGAAAGAGAGCCAGAACACAGGUGCUGCAUGGCUUCGUCAGCUCGUGUCGUGAGAUGUUGGGUUAAGUCCCGCAACGAGCGCAACCCUUGUCAUUAGUUGCUACGAAAGGGCACUCUAAUGAUACUGCCGGUGACAAACCGGAGGAAGGUGGGGAUGACGUCAGGUCAUCAUGGCCCUUAUGGGUAGGGCUACACACGUCAUACAAUGCCCGGUACAGAGGGUUGCCAACCCGCGAGGGGGAGCCAAUCCCAGAAAACCGGUCGUAGUCCGGAUCGUAGUCUGCAACUCGACUGCGUGAAGUCGGAAUCGCUAGUAAUCGCGGAUCAGCUUGCCGCGGUGAAUACGUUCCCGGGUCUUGUACACACCGCCCGUCACACCAUGGGAGCGGGUUCUGCCAGAAGUAGUUAGCCUAACCGCAAGGGGGGCGAUUACCACGGCAGGGUUCGUGACUGGGGUGAAGUCGUAACAAGGUA
RNAcentral lists this ribosomal RNA (1486 nucleotides) under metagenome. Its description in RNAcentral is "bacterial SSU rRNA". It matches the Rfam family "Bacterial small subunit ribosomal RNA". The record is from RNAcentral.